RNAcentral lists this ribosomal RNA (484 nucleotides) under uncultured bacterium. RNAcentral describes it as "partial 16S ribosomal RNA". It matches the Rfam family "Bacterial small subunit ribosomal RNA", at positions 30 to 507 of the family's 1533-position model. The record is from RNAcentral.
AUUGAACGCUGGCGGCAGGCCUAACACAUGCAAGUCGAGCGGAUGAAGGGAGCUUGCUCCUGGAUUCAGCGGCGGACGGGUGAGUAAUGCCUAGGAAUCUGCCUGGUAGUGGGGGAUAACGUCCGGAAACGGGCGCUAAUACCGCAUACGUCCUGAGGGAGAAGGUGGGGGAUCUUCGGACCUCACGCUAUCAGAUGAGCCUAGGUCGGAUUAGCUAGUUGGUGGGGUAAAGGCCUACCAAGGCGACGAUCCGUAACUGGUCUGAGAGGAUGAUCAGUCACACUGGAACUGAGACACGGUCCAGACUCCUACGGGAGGCAGCUGUGGGGAAUAUUGGACAAUGGGCGAAAGCCUGAUCCAGCCAUGCCGCGUGUGUGAAGAAGGUCUUCGGAUUGUAAAGCACUUUAAGUUGGGAGGAAGGGCAGUAAGUUAAUACCUUGCUGUUUUGACGUUACCAACAGAAUAAGCACCGGCUAACUUCGUG